AAGAUUUAAAGAUAAUGAUUUUGGUCUGCUAAACCAUAAAUCCUGUGGUUUAACUCCAUAGAAAUCUUG
This 69-nucleotide transfer RNA is filed under the name Cercodemas anceps. Its description in RNAcentral is "tRNA-Ser". Lineage: Eukaryota; Metazoa; Echinodermata; Holothuroidea; Dendrochirotida; Cucumariidae. The record is from RNAcentral.